AUACGGAGGGUGCAAGCGUUAUUCGGAAUUACUGGGCGUAAAGCGCACGUAGGCCGCUUUGUAAGUCAGGGGUGAAAUCCCACGGCUCAACCGUGGAACUGCCCUUGAAACUGCGAAGCUUGAAUCCUGGAGAGGGUGGGCGGAAUUCCUGGUGUAGGAGUGAAAUCCGUAGAUAUCAGGAGGAACACCGGUGGCGAAGGCGGCCACCUGGACAGGCAUUGACGCUGAGGUGCGAAAGUGUGGGGAGC
This 248-nucleotide ribosomal RNA is filed under the name uncultured bacterium. Its description in RNAcentral is "partial 16S ribosomal RNA". It matches the Rfam family "Bacterial small subunit ribosomal RNA", at positions 523 to 769 of the family's 1533-position model. The record is from RNAcentral.